This 21-nucleotide non-coding RNA is filed under the name Arabidopsis thaliana (thale cress). The record is from RNAcentral. Lineage: Eukaryota; Viridiplantae; Streptophyta; Magnoliopsida; Brassicales; Brassicaceae.
GAUGAUGUGUCACUCAUAUGA